RNAcentral lists this ribosomal RNA (323 nucleotides) under uncultured eukaryote. Its description in RNAcentral is "partial 18S ribosomal RNA". It matches the Rfam family "Eukaryotic small subunit ribosomal RNA", at positions 1470 to 1796 of the family's 1831-position model. The record is from RNAcentral.
CCCUUAGACGUUCUGGGCUGCACGCGUGCUACACUGAUAUUGCCAAUAUGUCAUUCUUAUCCGAAAUGGAUUGGGUAAUCAAGUAAUGAAAUUUCAUGCUUGGAAUCGGUAAUUGCAAUUUUAUCGUGAACGAGGAAUUCCUAGUAAGCACUAGUCAUCAGCUAAUGUUGAUUAUGUCCCUGCCCUUUGUACACACCGCCCGUCGCUACUACUGAUUGGGUGUUCAAGUGAGAUGCUUAGACCCUUGUUGCAUGGUUCAUUAUUGUGCUCCGAAAGGAAAAAGUUUCAAGCUUGAGUGUCUAGAGGAAGUAAAAGUCGUAACA